This 465-nucleotide ribosomal RNA is filed under the name Vreelandella stevensii. RNAcentral describes it as "partial 16S ribosomal RNA". It matches the Rfam family "Bacterial small subunit ribosomal RNA", at positions 338 to 795 of the family's 1533-position model. The record is from RNAcentral. Lineage: Bacteria; Pseudomonadati; Pseudomonadota; Gammaproteobacteria; Oceanospirillales; Halomonadaceae.
CCUACGGGGGGCUGCAGUGGGAAAUAUUGGACAAUGGGGGGAACCCUGAUCCAGCCAUGCCGCGUGUGUGAAGAAGGCCCUCGGGUUGUAAAGCACUUUCAGUGAGGAAGAACGCCUGGUGGUUAAUACCCAUCAGGAAAGACAUCACUCACAGAAGAAGCACCGGCUAACUCCGUGCCAGCAGCCGCGGUAAUACGGAGGGUGCGAGCGUUAAUCGGAAUUACUGGGCGUAAAGCGCGCGUAGGUGGCUUGAUAAGCCGGUUGUGAAAGCCCCGGGCUCAACCUGGGAACGGCAUCCGGAACUGUCAAGCUAGAGUGCAGGAGAGGAAGGUAGAAUUCCCGGUGUAGCGGUGAAAUGCGUAGAGAUCGGGAGGAAUACCAGUGGCGAAGGCGGCCUUCUGGACUGACACUGACACUGAGGUGCGAAAGCGUGGGUAGCAAACAGGAUUAGAUACCCCUGUAGUC